This 253-nucleotide ribosomal RNA is filed under the name uncultured bacterium. RNAcentral describes it as "partial 16S ribosomal RNA". It matches the Rfam family "Bacterial small subunit ribosomal RNA", at positions 524 to 776 of the family's 1533-position model. The record is from RNAcentral.
UACGUAGGGUGCAAGCGUUAUCCGGAAUUAUUGGGCGUAAAGAGCUCGUAGGCGGUUUGUCACGUCUGCUGUGAAAACUGGAGGCUCAACCUCCAGCCUGCAGUGGGUACGGGCAGACUAGAGUGCGGUAGGGGAGAUUGGAAUUCCUGGUGUAGCGGUGGAAUGCGCAGAUAUCAGGAGGAACACCGAUGGCGAAGGCAGAUCUCUGGGCCGUAACUGACGCCGAGGAGCGAAAGCAUGGGGAGCGAACAGG